CCUCUGCUCCCUGCAUCCAUCCGUCCGUUGUGCGCCCGCUCAGACACAAGUGUGGAAGGGGGCACGAGCGCGCUGGCGCGAGCAUGGAGGAUACUGGAGCGAGCAUGCCUCUUAACGUUUGGUGAAUAUGGCGGCGUCCAGAGUCCGUUACAGAGAAAUAGAUGCUGUCUGUAGCUGACACUGAGUGCUAAAAUGGCUGGUGAUGAGACUGCCUUCUUGUAGCGAUCUUAGGGACCAUUAAAGCACACACUUCCUUUGAGAUGAAAUCUAUGUGGCCGAUCCCCUCAUGCUGCUCCUGUCACCUGGAUUCCAUUUCUUCACGUGCAUUCUGAAGUGCACCGCAACCAGGAUGCUUGAACACGGAAAAAAAAUCUGAUUUCCUCCAGGGACAGAAAUGAUUGCUUUGAGUUUAUGCUAAGGCUGGACAGAAGGGGUGGCCAAGAAGAGUAUGGAGCAGAGAGGGUUUUCUAUGUCCUGAAGGAUCCAUGGCCACAUUUCCCCCACAUGAAAUGCACUGCACAGAAUUGCUGAUACCUGCUGCAUCUGGCUACUGUGAUAGUUUAGAAGACACUGUAGUUGAACACCAAGCACUCUCAUGUUGGUGUUGCAGGGAUAUGGGCGUGGCCCCAGAAACCAUGCAAGAAGAAGCACUGACUAAUGCCAAGGAGUAAUACCCUGCCUGAGGCCCUAGGUUCCCUGUGGAGCCCUCGUCCUCAGUGAUGGACCAGCUGCACUUCUGAAAAGUGAUGGUGUAUGCUCAUUCCUGUUGGUUUCCAUGCAGAGGUGACUGGUGGCACCAACUCUCCCCUUUUCUCCAGUGUCCUACUAUUGCAGCGCCCCGUUCUUGCUCACUGUGUGGCAGGCUUCCUGCUUUUGUCUGGUCCCUGGAUGUCUGUGAACUAAAGGAACGGACCCUGGGUUCCUGGCAAAUGAGGCUUGCAGGGUGAAGGCGCCAUUUACCUUAGUGCAAAUGUGGAGAACUGAGGUCUUCUCCCAGUCAUUCUGUGAGGCAUGGUGUCCCCUCUCUCUCCUCACAGUAGGUGACACUUUCUCUCACAGUUACCCAUCCUACAGUGCCCCUCUCUGCUUCCCACACCCUCAUGAGGAAUGGCGGCACUUGGGCCAUAGAGCGUAUUAACCUGUGUAGCGACUUUUUACAAUGCAAACAAGAGGUACCAAUUUGUUCGGCAGACCUGUGUGUGGACAGGUAUGUGUUAGGCACGGUGGGAUCCUAGGCUCACUGCAGUAACAAAGACACUGUCCUGUCAACAGGCAGAGCUCUAGUGGACGGGAGCAUAAAAGAGUGAGGCUACUGCCUGGCUAAGCAUGCAUGAGGCCCAGGUCAGUCUCAGCGCCUGUGAACACACAUAUACACACAUGCUUGCACAUACAUGUGCACCCGGGGAGAGAUAAGAAAGUAUGUGUGGGUAAAGUCUGUGAGUUUGAAGGCAAGAGCAAGGGAGCCCAUUUGGAGGAGGGAGCUUCUGUGUUCCUGGAGGAGUUCCUGGAUGACCUGACAAGUCACCUCAAUUUGGAGCAGGGCUGGGCUCAGCUCCUGCUGUGGGGACUGUGUUCAUGUCUCAUGGUGUCUUUGGAGGCAAGAAAGUGCAAGAGGAAAGUGUGAAGUGUGCAUAAGUGUGUGCCGGGGGCGGGGAUGAGGAGGUGCACCCUCCUGACAUGUAAGCCCAAGGAUGAUGGCUGGGAUGUGUGGGACGAUUAGUUUGUUGCCUUGCUAUUUGAGAUUUGAUUAAAGACAUGCUGCUCCUGU
Molecule: long non-coding RNA, 1768 nt
Organism: Mesocricetus auratus (golden hamster)
Lineage: Eukaryota; Metazoa; Chordata; Mammalia; Rodentia; Cricetidae
Exons: 5
Source: RefSeq, a predicted model, not a curated record